RNAcentral lists this transfer RNA (74 nucleotides) under Nanobdellota archaeon. RNAcentral's name for it is "tRNA-Arg". It matches the Rfam family "tRNA". From Rfam's summary of the family: Transfer RNA (tRNA) molecules are approximately 80 nucleotides in length. Their secondary structure includes four short double-helical elements and three loops (D, anti-codon, and T loops). Lineage: Archaea; Nanobdellati; Nanobdellota. The record is from RNAcentral.
GCCCCCGUGGUGUAGCUUGGAUAGCACACGAGAUUGCGGAUCUUGGAACCGGGGUUCAAAUCCUCGCAGGGGCG